CACGAAGGGGGCUAGCGUUGCUCGGAAUCACUGGGCGUAAAGCGCACGUAGGCGGCUUUUUAAGUCAGGGGUGAAAUCCUGGAGCUCAACUCCAGAACUGCCUUUGAUACUGAGAAGCUUGAGUCCGGGAGAGGUGAGUGGAACUGCGAGUGUAGAGGUGAAAUUCGUAGAUAUUCGCAAGAACACCAGUGGCGAAGGCGGCUCACUGGCCCGGUACUGACGCUGAGGUGCGAAAGCGUGGGGAGCAAACAGG
This 253-nucleotide ribosomal RNA is filed under the name uncultured bacterium. RNAcentral's name for it is "partial 16S ribosomal RNA". It matches the Rfam family "Bacterial small subunit ribosomal RNA", at positions 524 to 776 of the family's 1533-position model. The record is from RNAcentral.